CAACAAAGGUAUAUGGUGGAUGCCUAGACACUGCAUGACGAUGAAGGACGUAGCAGCCUGCGAUAAGCCUCGGGAAGGUGGCAAGCAACCGUUGAUCCGGGGAUUUCCGAAUGGGGAAACCCAAUCCUGUGAAGCAGGAUUACAGCUGUCUGAAUUCAUAGGGCAGUUGAGUGCACCUUGGGAACUGAAACAUCUCAGUACCAAGAGGAACAGAAAGAAUAAACGCAUUCUUUAACUGUUAAUUAGUAAUUGUUGACCCUUAAAAGUUCCACCCAAAGGGUGGUCGCCCUCUGGGCGAAACGGUUAAAAGUUAACGGUUAGAGAUUGCUCUAUUCCCCUAGUAGCGGCGAGCGAACGGGGAGGAGCCCAAACUUUAUCGAUAGAUGAUCUGGUGUGAAGCCCAGCCGCAAGGUUGGAGUGGAAUGCUAGUGAAAUGGUCACACGCCUAAUGCUUCGGUAGGGAGUUGUAAGAGCUACAGUGUUUCCUGUGUGUGAGGGGAGACCAGAGUAUACGAAAUAUAUCCUCCAUAGUAGAAUCCGCUGGAAUGCGGAGCCAAAGAAGGUGAUAGCCCUGUACGCGAAAUGGGUUAUAGCUCUGCUGUAGCUUCUUGAGUACCACGAGGCUGGAGAAACCUUGUGGGAAACAAGCGUCACUAUGCGCUAAGGCUAAAUACAUGCGGUGAUCGAUAGUGAACAAGUACCGUGAGGGAAAGGUGAAAAGUACCCCGAUGAGGGGGAUGAAAUAGUAUCUGAAACCAUAUACUUACAAGGAGUCGGAGCCCAGCACCACUUUUGUGUCUGAUUGGCGGGUGCAUCUAGAAAUCUGGAUGCAAUGCGCUGAACGCACACGGCGCGAACGCGCCGCAGUGAAAUCGGGAACAAAAGUGGUGCUUGGGUGACGGCGUGCCUAUUGAAGAAUGAACCAACGAGUUAGUUACGUGUUGCUUAUUUAAGCUCUUUGGAGCGAAGGUUAAGUGAAAGCGAGGGUUAAACGCCCGUAUCUAGACUUUGAUCUUGCCCCGCGCAAGCGGGAUGAGAUCAAUUUCUGGAGUGCAUCACGUACUAGACCCGAAACCGGGUGAGCUAGCCAUGACCAGGGUGAAGUCUCGGUAAAACGAGAUGGAGGCCCGAACCCACAAGCCGUGCGACACUUGGGGAUGAGUUGUGGUUAGAGGAGAAAUUCCAAUCGAACUCGGAGAUAGCUGGUUCUCCUCGAAAUAGUUUUUGGACUAGCCUGUACCGUUAAGCACCGGAGGUAGAGCACUGGAUGGGGUCAGAUGGAGCAAUCCUACUGAUCCUAAUCAAACUCCGAAUGCCGGUGUGUAUUGGUAUGGAGUCAGACCAUGGGGGCUAAGCUCCAUAGGUCAAAAGGGAAACAGCCCAGACCUCAAUCUAAGGUCCCUAAAUUGCAGUUCAGUGUAGAAGGUGGUAUUGCGACUUAUACAACUAGGAGGUUGGCUUAGAGGCAGCCAUCCUUUAAAGAAAGCGUAACAGCUCACUAGUCAAGUCGCUUUGUGCCGAAAAUUCAACGGGGCUAAACUGCAUACCGACGAUGAGGAUCCGCUUACUUUAUUGUGAGCGGGUGGUAGAGGAGCGUUCUCUGCGCACUGAAGCGGGAGGGUAACCGACCGUGGAGUGCAGAGAAGUGCGAAUGUUGGUAUAAGUAGCAAAAAGUCCGGUAAAAACCCGGACCACCGUAAACCCAAGGUUUCCUGGGCAACGCAAAUCGACCCAGGGUUAGGCAAUCCUAAGGCGAGGCCGAAAGGCGUAGCCGAUGGAAGAGCAGGUUAAUAUUCCUGCCCUAGUGCCGUAUUUCAAUGGGGUGACGUAGUUUCGCGAGGCGAUCGUUAUAAGGUUAUGAACGUUGGCCGUUUGUAGCGUGGCUCUCUUGGCAAAUCCGGAGAGCAACACACGUGAAGACGGUCAGAAGACCAAGUCCCUCGGGAUGCGGUCAAUUCGCAUCAACGGAUUACCCAGAAAAACCCCUAGAGCUAAUGCGGCACUAUCUGUACCGGAAACCGACACAGGUGGGUGAGGAGAGUAUCCUCAGGUGGACGAGAGAAACUUCGCUAAGGAACUCGGCAAUACAGCGGCCGUAACUUAGGGAUAAGGCCUUCCAGCCCUAGUUUCGAUCUAAAUAAUUAAUUCAAGUUUGAUUAUGCAUAUCAUGUAUGUCAUUCAGCAUGAUCAAACGAGGCAUGUAUACUUCGGUCGUACUUCUGAUCUGAAACGCAGACUAGCGCAGCACAAUGCGGGUUUGCAGACGUCAACCAAAAGAGAAUCAGGUGUACGGCACCUUGUGUACGCAGAAGCGUAUCGAGAUAAGCGCGAUGCUGUGCAACGAGAAGAUAAAUUGAAACAGCAUGGUAGCGCUAAGUAUAAACUGUAUAUUCGAAUCAAGCAUUCUAUGAUUCGAGAUCGAAACUAGGGCUGGACGCAGCUAAAGACGCUAAGCGACUGUUUACCAAAAACACAGGUCCCUGCUAAAUCGCAAGAUGAUGUAUAGGGGCUGAUGCCUGGCCAGUGUCAGAAAGUUAAGGGGAGGGGUGCAAGCCUCGAACCGAAGCUCUGAUGAACGCCGGCGGUAACUAUAACCGUCCUAAGGUAGCGAAAUUCCUUGUCGGGUGAGUUCCGACCUGCACGAAUGGCAUAACGACUUAGCGACUGUCUCAGCGAAGUACUCGGCGAAAUUGCAAGACGAGUAAAGAUGCUCGUUACCCGUAGCUAGACGAAAAGACCCCGUGAAGCUUUACUAUACUCUGGUAUUGAAUUAGGAGUUGCCAUAUUCAGUAUACGUGGGAGACUUUGAAGCCCUGCCGUUAGGCGGGGUGGAGUCACCAGUGAGAUACCACGUUUGGUUGCUUUUAGUUCUUCAUCCUGAACCCUGAAGCGGGUUCGGUGACAGUAUCAGACGGGUAGUUUAACUGGGGCGGUUGCCUCCCAAAUGGUAACGGAGGCGUUCACAAAGGUUGGCUAGACCCCGAUGGAAACGGGGAUUGGUCGUGCAUGCGCACAAGCCAGCUUUACUGCAAGAGUGACCACUCGAGCAGUUACGAAAGUAGGAGCAAGUGAUCCGACCGUACGAUAUAGGACGGCGGAAGCUCAACGGAUAAAAGUUACUCCGGGGAUAACAGGCUGAUCAGGUCCAAGAGUCCACAUCGACGACCUGGUUUGGCACCUCGAUGUCGGCUCGUCGCAUCCUGGGGGUGAAGAAGCUCCCAAGGGUUUGGCUGUUCGCCAAUUAAAGCGGCACGUGAGCUGGGUUCAGAACGUCGUGAGACAGUAAGACCUUGCUGUCUAUAAAUUCGGCUAUAUGCUGGAAACUCUGAAAACCUCCAAGGAGAUUAGGAGGUUGAAGAAUCUCACACUACAUGAUAGUAUUCGUGUAAUAAUGUGUUGAGUGCAGACAACCAGCAGGGAAGGUCAAAAAGAAGUCGUCUACAUCCGUGGUAUGUAAGUGGUUUUGUUGAUGGAGAGGGUUCAUUUCAUGUGGCGAUCUACCGCGAUACUCGCAUGACUGCUCAAUGGAAGAUUAUUCCGGAGUUUCAUGUCAGUCAACGGUAUUCGAGCCGCCACGUACUCGAUGAGCUCGUACCGUUUUUCCGGUGCGGCUAUGUCAAAGCGAAUCACGCAACAAAUCCCCGCGAUUCAACCUACGUGUACGUAGUAAGGAAUCGUCAGGAUCUUCUGGAAAAGAUAAUAUCUUUUUUUGAAGAGUACCCGUUACGUACCGAAAAAUCGAACGAUUAUAGGAUUUUUACUAAGAUUGUUCGCUCAAUGGAUGCUGGUCUGCAUCGAUCAAAAACCGGUGCGCAAAAGAUCAUCGCACUCGCCUACUCGAUGAACAAUCGAGGGCACUAUCGGCGGCGAGCGAUGCCAAAGAUUUCUUUUUGAAACCCUCAGAGACUAUACGCCGAACGCACCUUUGCAGGUGUAAAGAUAUAGUCCGAACUCUAUGGCGACAUAGAGAGGCAAGCAGAAAUGACUUGUCCACGUGAUAAGGGUCAAUUGUUAAAAGUCUCAGCCAAAGGCUGAUCCGCCUCUGGCGGAAAUUGUCCGUUGUUACGAAGUAACAAUGUUGUCGGUCUCCUAUCUGCUACGGGCGUAGAAUCUUGAGGGGGCUCAUUCCUAGUACGAGAGGACCGGAAGGGACGAACCUCUAGUGUACCAGUUGUGUCACCAGAUGCAUUGCUGGGUAGCUAUGUUCGGCACGGAUAAGCGCUGAAAGCAUAUAAGCGCGAAGCCGUCCCCAAGAUUAGGAUUCGUUAUAAGCUCCUGGGAGACGACCAGGUUGAUAGGCCUCAGGUGUACGUUCCGUAAGGAAUUCAGCCGAGAGGUACUAAUAAGCUGAUGU
RNAcentral lists this ribosomal RNA (4354 nucleotides) under Candidatus Komeilibacteria bacterium RIFCSPLOWO2_01_FULL_52_15. Its description in RNAcentral is "bacterial LSU rRNA". The stretch from base 1 to 3318 matches the Rfam family "Bacterial large subunit ribosomal RNA". Lineage: Bacteria; Candidatus Komeiliibacteriota. The record is from RNAcentral.